Homalodisca vitripennis (glassy-winged sharpshooter) is the source of this 459-nucleotide long non-coding RNA. RefSeq lists it as uncharacterized. The record is from RefSeq and is a predicted model, not a curated record. Lineage: Eukaryota; Metazoa; Arthropoda; Insecta; Hemiptera; Cicadellidae. The transcript is spliced from 2 exons.
ACAAAUAAUUUUACAAGGCAUGAAAUUAUCCGUGAUCAUUUUGAAGAUUAGUUAUUGUUCCACUGUGAAGAUAGAACUACGGAUUAUAACGUUUGCAAGAUUUUAUGUUCAUCCCAUUUUGAUGAGGUAUCUCAAGGGAACCGAUGGUUCUACAAUGUUUGUGAUCGGGGUGUUUUUAAUAUUGUUACUUCUUGAAGUUGGUUUAUGCGAUGAUCAGUUUUGCAAUGAAGUGUUCAAACCUUGCGCAGUUGGUACCUGUUGCAAGGGUCUCCGGUGUGGACGUAUUGGCAGCCAAUUCAUCAAAGUUUGCAUCGUCGAUUUAGCCCAAAGAAGACUGAUUAGCAAAUGGCACUGGAGAAAAUGACGCUUGUAAGAAAAAUAACUGAGUGAUAUUGUGGCAUAUAUACUUAUUUAUUAACCCAUAUAUUUGUAUAAGUUAAUACAGUUUUGUUACCCACA